GACGUAGGGCGCGAGCGUUGUCCGGAUUUAUUGGGCGUAAAGCGCGCGCAGGUGGUUUCUUAAGUCUGAUGUGAAAGCCCACGGCUCAACCGUGGAGGGUCAUUGGAAACUGGGGAACUUGAGUGCAGAAGAGGAAAGUGGAAUUCCAAGUGUAGCGGUGAAAUGCGUAGAGAUUUGGAGGAACACCAGUGGCGAAGGCGACUUUCUGGUCUGUAACUGACACUGAGGCGCGAAAGCGUGGGGAGCGAAGAGG
Molecule: ribosomal RNA, 253 nt
Filed under: uncultured bacterium
Lineage: Bacteria
Description: partial 16S ribosomal RNA
Rfam family: Bacterial small subunit ribosomal RNA
Source: RNAcentral